AGGACGAACGCUGGCGGCGCGCUUAACACAUGCAAGUCGAGCGAGAACCAGUCCUUCGGGACUGGGGACAGCGGCGAACGGGUGAGUAACACGUGGGUAAUCUGCCCUCGAUUCUGGGAUAGCCCGGGGAAACCCGGAUUAAUACCGGGUAGCCUCUCUGGCUUUCGAGCCGGCGAGAAAAGGUAGCUUCGGCCUCCGAUCGAGGAUGAGCCCGCGGCGGAUUAGCUUGUUGGUGGGGUAAUGGCCUACCAAGGCGACGAUCCGUAGCUGGUCUGAGAGGAUGAUCAGCCACACGUGGGACUGAGACACGGCCCAGACCUCCGUACGGGAGGCAGCAGGUGGGGAAUAUUGGAACAAGUGGGCGACAAGCCUGAUCCAGACAAUGCCGCGUGAGUGAGGAAGGCGUUAGGUAGUAAGCUUCUUACGAACGCGACGAGUGAGU
RNAcentral lists this ribosomal RNA (442 nucleotides) under uncultured soil bacterium. Its description in RNAcentral is "bacterial SSU rRNA". It matches the Rfam family "Bacterial small subunit ribosomal RNA", at positions 26 to 454 of the family's 1533-position model. The record is from RNAcentral.